AUGGGGUCUAUUGGGGUCUAUUGGGGUCUAUUGGGAUCCAUUGGGGUCUAUUGGGGUCUAUUGGGGUCUAUUGGGGUCUAUUGGGAUCUAUGGGGAUCUAUAGGGAUCCAUUGGGGUCUGUUGGGGUCUAUUGGGAUCUAUUGGGGUCUAUUGGGGUCUAUUGGGAUCUAUUGGGAUCUAUUGGGGUCUUUUGGGAUCUAUUGGGGUCUAUUGGGAUCUAUUGGGGUCUAUUGGGGUUUAUUGGGGUCUAUUGGGAUCUAUUGGGGUCUAUUGGGGUCUAUUGGGAUCUAUGGGACUGGGAUCUAUUGGGAUCUAUUGGGGUCUAUUGGUGUCUAUUGGGGUCUAUUGGGGUCUAUUGGGAUCUAUUGGGGUCUAUUGGGGUCUAUUGGGAUCUAUUGGGGUCUAUUGGGAUCCAUUGGGAUCUAUUGGGGUCUAUUGGGGUCUAUGGGGAUCUAUUGGGAUCCAUUGGGGUCUAUUGGGAUCCAUUGGGGUCCAUUGGGGUCCAUUGGGGCCAUUGGGGUCCAUUGGGAUCUAUUGGGGUCUAUUGGGGUCUAUUGGGAUCUAUUGGGGUCUAUUGGGGAUCUAUUGGGGUCUAUUGGGAUCUAUUGGGGUCUAUUGGGAUCCGUUGGGGUCUAUUGGGAUCUAUUGGGGUCUGUUGGGAUCUAUUGGGAUCUAUUGGGAUCUAUUGGGGGUCUAUUGAGAUCUAUUGGGGUCUAUUGGGAUCUAUUGGGGUCUAUUGAGGUCUAUUGGGAUCUAUUGGGGUCUAUUGAGAUCUAUUGGGGUGGGUCUAUUGGGAUCUAUUGGGGUCAAUGGGGCUCUAUGGGGCUGGGGUCAAUGGGGCUCUAUGGGGCUGGGGUCAAUGGGGCUCUAUGGGGAUCUAUUGGAAUCUAUUGGGGUCUAUUUGGAUCUAUUGGGAUCUAUGGGGCUGGGAUCUCUUGGGAUCUAUUGGGAUCUAUGGGGAUGGGAUCUAUUGGGAUCUAUGGGGCUGGGAUCUAUUGGAAUCUAUGGGGCUGGGAUCUAUGGCUCCUACCUGAAUCCCAUCCCUCAUCUCUGUGCUUACCCAACUCAGCCCCAUAA
Molecule: long non-coding RNA, 1077 nt
Filed under: Coturnix japonica (Japanese quail)
Lineage: Eukaryota; Metazoa; Chordata; Aves; Galliformes; Phasianidae
Description: lncRNA (ENSCJPG00005019115.1)
Source: RNAcentral